This 456-nucleotide long non-coding RNA is filed under the name Pan troglodytes (chimpanzee). RNAcentral describes it as "long non-coding RNA NONPTRT018525". The record is from RNAcentral. Lineage: Eukaryota; Metazoa; Chordata; Mammalia; Primates; Hominidae.
GUCAUGGUUGCAUAAAUCCUCUACCCUCCCGUGUGUUGCUUCUAUGGUUUUCAACUGAAAGUACCCAUGAUGCACGGUGCUACACCUACCACUGUGUCUGCAGCAACAACACCUGCCACCAGCGUUCCGUUCGCUGCACCAACUACAGGCAAUCAGCUGAAAUUCUGAACAGCAGAGUUAUGGAGUAUCAGAAUCUUUCCAUGGAAACCUCCAUAUGGCCUUUCUAUAUAUAUUCUCGUAUGUCUUAUUCUACCAACACAACAAUAAGCGUGUUGCAGUCAAUGUAUUAAGCAAAGCAAACCUGCCAGCCAGCAAAUUCAAAUAAAAAAUAAAGCAUUAAAAAUCAAUGGAGAUGUUAAAACAACACAAAUAGAAAACUAGUAACUACCAACCAUCCAUCCUAUUUGAAUUAUCAAGCAGAACAUGACCAUAAAAUUUGGUAACUUGUUACAUUAC